CCUAGUGGUGGUUUUAAACCACACUCAAGAUAAUAGGUUAAAGUAAAGGUUGUGUGUGAAAGCAGAUCAGCGCCAUCUGAUGUUUAUACUUAGGGGUGAGGUGCCUUAUUGCUAUUAUAAAUAGAAACAAUCUAAUGUCUUUCCAAAUGGCUUCAUCAUCUAUAAACUUGCCCUGAGUUAGAUGCGUUGCUUUUUCUGUUGAUAUGCUUGAUUGGUGUAUAUUUUCUUAACUGACUGGCGUGUGGAGAUUGUUUGUUAUAACAUACCAUAUCUCCGGAUGUUAGUGGUAUAUAAAGCCUAGCAGUUACGAACGUGGGGCCAGUAACCAAAACGUUGGUUAGAAUUCGCGAGCCGAAUAGAUGAAAAAUGAAUCGAUGUACCCUUGAGCAAGGCACUUAGCCCUAAUUGCUCCUGUAAGUCACUCUGGAUAACAACAUUUACUAAAAUGUACAUGUACAUUUCCAACUCUCUCACGUGUUGGAUAUUUGUUUUGAAAAUGGAAAAUGGCACAAGAAGAUGCACAAAGGUUGUCAUUUUUGUCUGGUGAGAUGAGCAAAGGGACAACCAAACUACGUUUGAUUCAGCUAGCAAUCUUACUGGAGCUAAAGAAGUCCAACAAAAUUGUUAAUUUUAGUAUUAGAUUGAGGACACAAUUUCAAUGGAUUGAGUCAAUUAAAUCACAAACAACGUCAAUUUGGUCUAUUUCCGGCCAUGGCGGAUAUGUCCAGAGUUGAGCAUGAAGGGUCAAUCAUGGCAUCGUGUGUGAAAUAUCUUGCACUGGAGAUGAUGGCGCUCAAAAUGUCAGCACAGGGGUGGGUGUCUUUCUACGUUGCCAGAUACCUGGUUUGGACCCAUUUUGGGAGCAGGUUUGCCUGUUGGGGAUAGGGCUGUCUACUGCCCCCGCUGGAGUAAUUGCGUGCCCAUAGUAAACAUAAUUUUUUUUUGUCAAAAGUUGCUAAUAUAUGCAAAUAAAAAAUAUUAUUGAAUAGAAAACACUCUAAAGCUUCUAAAACCGUUUAAAUUAUGUAUGUAUGUAAAGCAGAACUCUCAGGGCAGUCAUUCUCCCAAACUCUCUCUUGUCAUCAGAAAAGUUGGCCCAACUUUGACGUCAUCGCCCCCACCCUUCCCAAGCACUUACAGGUCUGGGAACAGUCUCUCUGUAUUCAGCGCGAUCUCAGCUUUCAAUGGGGCUUCUCAUUGUGAUAAUUGCGUGCUCAUGAGAGUUUUGGCGGGCCGAAACCUUUCGGUCACGCAAAAAAACAGGUCACUUUUAUGCGCGCUCUGCUCCGGUCCUGUCUUUUUUCCAAUAUCGAUUAUACAAUGCAUGCGUUUCUGUUCGUCCUCACGAUUGCUGUACACCUUUAUAACAUGUUAAAGCUUGAUUAUGAACUUAGUUUGAUAAGUUUAGUCGACAUAUAAUAUGUAAGUUUGACGUUUUGGUGCGCAUCCACUUGACUUUUGGCUACAUUUCAACCAAAAUGUGUCGUGUUUGAGAACCGAAAGACACAGACUGCAAAACUAAAGGCUGUUUUUGGUAAGUAUAAUUCCUUCCAGGUCUUCUGAUGGAAGAACAGCAAAGGUAAGGGAAUAUUUAUGUGGUAAAUUUGGGUUUCUGUGGACUCCAAGAUAGAGGAGCCAUAAUGCUACUUUUUGAGCGCCGACUCAUAGUAUAGCCUAGUGAACGAAACCUGUAACGUUAAAAAUAAAUGUAACACAGCGAUUGCAUUCAGAAGAAGUGUAUCUAACUAUAUAUAUGUAGAACAUGCAUAUUUAGUCAAAGUUUAUGAUGUGUAUUCCUUGUUAGCUGACGUUAUCUGCCGGAGCUAUCGUCAUUUCUCAGGACAUUUGAGUAGCAUUUUUUGAACGAUGCAUCAUUGUAAACAGAGAUUUAUGGAUAUAUAUAGCAUAUUAUUGAAAAAACAUAAAUGUACUGUGUAACAUGUUAUAUUACUGUCAUCUGAUGAAGAUUUCAAAAGGUUAGUGCAUUAUUUUUCUUUUAAUCCUGCGUUUGUUGAUUGCAUAUUUUUUUCAACUUGGCUAUGCAAAUUAGCUGUGUCUUCGGUGGUGGUUUGACAUAAAUAUGUGCUAUGUUUUCGCCGUAAAACAUUUUAGAAAUCUGACUUGCUGGGUAGAUAAACAAGGUGUUUAUCUUUCAUUUGAGCCAUUGGACUUGUUAAUGUGUGGAGGUUAAAUAUUUUUAGGAAUAUUUUUGCGUUCCAUGCGCCACCUUCCAGCUGAACGUGGGGGGGGUGUUCCCAAAUUGGAACCCUAGUCCCCUUCUGGUUAACAGCACCUAAUGUAGCCUAUUACUUCCAAGAUAUCUAGCUGUUCAAUAGCCUAACAUCUUGAUGUUCCGAUGCUCAGUUGGUAAAAUGCAUUGACCCAGUCCUAACUUCAGGAAGACACUGGUAUGAUGGCCAACCGCCCAAACAGGUUUUGGAACUACUGCUUUACUAGAUGCCCCUAGUUGAUGUCACCCCUCAGAUAACACACUAAACAUCAAACUGUGGUAGUUGGGGUGUUGUUUAUUAGGAUCAAACGGUGGGCGAUGGAGUUUCGUUUUUUUUAGGAUCAAACUGGGAGAUGGGGGUCAUGAUGUGGUUGUGAUAUUAGAUAGCCUAAUAUUGCUUAGCCACAGUUUUCUUUCCAUCUCCAUCAUACACCUGUUUAAGAAGGAAGACAUUUGAAAGUUAUAUACACUGCUCAAAAAAUAAAGGGAACACUUAAACAACACAAUGUAACUCCAAGUCAAUCACACUUCUGUGAAAUCAAACUGUCCACUUAGGAAGCAACACUGAUUGACAAUAAAUUUCACAUGCUGUUGUGCAAAUGGAAUAUACAACAGGUGGAAAUUUUAGGCAAUUAGCAAGACACCCCCAAUAAAGGAGUGGUUCUGCAGGUGGUGACCACAGACCACUUCUCAGUUCCUAUGCUUCCUGGCUGAUGUUUUGGUCACUUUUGAAUGCUGGCGGUGCUUUCACUCUAGUGGUAGCAUGAGACGGUUGCUAGUUCCUGCAAGAGGAAGGCAUUGAUGCUAUGGACUGGCCCGACCGUUCCCCAGACCUGAAUCCAAUUGAGCACAUCUGGGACAUCAUGUCUCGCUCCAUCCACCAACGCCACGUUGCACCACAGACUGUCUAGGAGUUGGCGGAUGCUUUAGUCCAGGUCUGGGAGGAGCAUGCACAGGCGUUGUAGGGAGGUCAUACAGGCACGUGGAGGCCACACACACUACUGAGCCUCAUUUUGACUUGUUUUAAGGACAUUAAAUCAAAGUUGGAUCAGCCUGUUGUGUGGUUUUCCACUUUCAUUUUGAGUGUGACUCCAAAUCCAGACCUCCAUGGGUUGAUAAAUUUGAUUUCCAUUGAUAAUUUUUGUGUGAUUAUGUUGUCAGCACAUUCAACUAUGUAAAGAAAAAAGUAUUUAAUAAGAAUAUUUCAUUCAUUCAGAUCUAGGAUGUGUUAUUUUAGUGUUCCCAUAUUUUUUUAUAGCAGUGUUGGUUAUUCACAGAGUGUACUACAAUUCUACAAAAUUAAAAUGAAUCCCUGAAGAAUAAACUGGAAUUUAUGGUGACACCUUUGGAAAAGGGUGAGAUCCGAAAAGAGUCAUUCUGAGUUGACCAACAAUAAUAAUUUUGAUUAGUUGGGAGUGUGGCCGCAAUCCACAGGGAAUAUCACUGAUUGUAAAAAUCCAAAAUACAACAUUAAAAUCUAAAUAGCUAGAAUACCAUGCAGAACAUUAGAUGAACACUCUGUUUUAACAUUUUCAUCUGAUUUCAUAUGAAAGAAACAGGGUUGAAAUAGUUCCUCUUAUUUCCAUUUCUCUUUCUGUUGUGUCUCCUGCCAGUGCAAUGAAAGAUGGGGAGACCUCUGCAUCAUCAGAGGAAGACUGAGGAAGAUGACUCAAUUGACUGUUCCAUCAAGGCGUGUGAUAUUUCAAGAACCAAUGCCACAUCAACCAGUGCAGGGGGUCCUGCAGAUGUUGACAAUGCAUGCAGAUGUUGACAAUGCAUUCUCCUGCUGUCCCAUAAUUAUCAAGGCAAGACCCAGAUGCACACAGGAGACCCAGAUGGUUGGAGUCUUACAAGGUUUGUUAAUCCAAAGGUGUAGGCAAGAGAAUGGUCGUGGACAGGCAAAAAGGUCAAAACCAGAGUCCAGGAGGUACAGUGGCAGACAGGCUCUUGGUCAAGGCAGGAAGAAUGGUCAGGAAGGCGGGUACAAAGUCCGGAAAACAGGCAAGGGUCAAAACCGGGAGGACUAGAAAAAGGAGACUGCAAAAGCAGGCGAAUGGAAAACUGCUGGUUGACUUGGAAACAUGCAAGACGAAACUAGGACAGAGAGACAGGCAACACAGGGAUAAAUAAACUGGGUAAACAAGCGACACCUGGAGGGGAUGGAGACAAUAACGAGGACAGGUGAAACUGAUCAGGGUGUGACAAUAGUAAUGAACGUGUCGGAACGAGGCAGGCAGGCAGGCAGGCUCUGUCAGCCAGUCGAAAUCAUGAAUCAGCUGGCAUCAUUUUGAUGGAUAUAUACAAAAAAUGACAAUUGAAAAGGUUAAAUGAAACUUAUAUCAUGUACAGUUUUUCCAGCUUCAGUUUGAAGUGAUUGUGUUACUGUAGCUGUAUUGUUGGUUAGCUUUUCGGAACAACAGUGUCGUGACGAGUGAACACAUUUUCUAUGCCUUAAUCGCGCCUCAUUGUUGUUCAUCCAAAUAAAUGUCACUAGAUAACAGUUUAAGCAAAUGAAGCUACUUUGCUGUUAUUCUGACUGCACUGUUUGACAUGGCUGUAAGUUAGCCGUAGUUGGCUAGUGUAACAGUAUGGCAAUGUAACAUUUAGAAUGAACGACUGACCAUAGAUCGCGUCCAUAGAUACAGAACAGAAAGACUGGGUCGCGUCUCUAGCAACCCUAGAUUAGUGUCGCGACUAUAUGUUGUGGAAGGAUGGAAUAGUAUGAAUAAAUAAAUGUAUCAAAAUAAAAAAUUUAAUAAAUAUGUAAAUCAUUAUUUGAAUAUGUUGGAAAUCCGUAAUAAAGUAAUAAUGCCCUCGAUGCUGAUGUUAGGAGAAUACGGUUUGCUGGCCCUGGACUUCGUUUCGGACCUAAUAACACCUCUGCCAAUAUAUCCUCCAAACACCGGCUUCUCUGGCAUUAUCACUUAAAUAAACAAUGGCGUUUAUGAAGGUUUGGUAUGAUAUGGCUAUUAUUAAGCUUUAGCUACUGCAUUUGUAUGAUAUGAAGGUAGUGCAACCCGGCACUGACUCCGACAGUUGAACUUGGGGUGAGGAAGACUGUUUCAGACCUACCAGAGUUACUCCUAUAAUCUAACAUUAUAAUGCUUAUCUUUAUAAAACAUAUUUUGAUCGAAAAUGUAUGAAUUAGCCUCUGUCUGUGCAUCUAUAUCUGUAUAGCAGACGCUAUAGCCUAUAAAGAAAUACAUUGUGAAGCAUUUGCCAGUGCGACACACUAGGCUGGUAGAGGUUAAGCGCUCAACAUGUAAACAACAUUUUGUUGUAUUAAAUCAUUAUAGUCUAUCAAUUGCGCAUAUAUACUCAGUGACUUAGAAUGAAGUAGAAAUUAAAUGGAAAAUGCUUUAUUAUGCUCAGUCUACAGUGACUUUGAAUUCAUUUUUAGAAACACCAGUUUGGCCAGGGUCUGUGGCUUCAGGCUCAUGCUAUGGAGAAUACCCGCUUGCAGAGCCACUGGAGAUGUUAAACACCCUUUUGGCCAUAAUUGAUUUUCGCCCAAUAGACCUGGCAUAUUGCAACUUUCAAGGGGCUUUGAUUUGGUUAUUUUGCCUAAAAAUAUAUAUAUAUAUAUGUAGGCCUAAAGGUUUUUCGGCAAAAUAACCAAAUCAAAGCAAAGCUCCUUGGAAGUUGGAAUAUGCCAAGUCUAUUGGGUCAAAAUCAAUUAUGGCCUGCCUAUUGUAUAAAGGAAACUUAAGAGAUAGGAUUUUUAGUUUAUAAAUACUUUGCUACAAUGACACUGUAAGAACAGACGCUGGAGUAGAGAAGCAGGGAUUCAAACAUUUAAUCGGAACAGCAUCAGCACAUGGGUAUACAAGGACAUAUGACAAUCAAUGCUGAAGCGGGGAACAGACAGAUAUAGGGGAGGAAAUUACAGAGGUGAUUGUGUCCAAUAAUCGCUUAUGCGCGUGACGGGGAAUGCAUGUGUGAGUAAUGAUGUUGUCCGGUGCCAAAUUUUCCUAAAGAAAACUCUGAAAUGGCAUAUUGGUUUUAUGAAGAUUUUAUAAUGUUCGCAUGAAAAUCUGUUGCCAAUUGGAUGAAAACCUAGCUAUAGACACCUUAGGCUCUGGCAAGUGCUGUAGUCCAAUUUCACUUUGAUUAUGCCGCCAUAUCAUGGUUUACCAGCAGCCCCAAACAUCUAAAGAAUAAGCUACCAGCCAAACAAACUUGUAAGAAUUGUAUUUAAACUUCCCCUGUCUGUGUGUCUAAAUGUGUCUAAAUGUGUCUAUUUGUGUAAGUGUAAAAGAGUCCCUGACUUUGUGAAAUCCCGGUCACUUUUAAAAAUGUUUGUGUAUAUGUAUUUUAACUGACAAAUAAAAUCAAUCAAUCCAAACUGCA
Long non-coding RNA from Oncorhynchus keta (chum salmon), 6580 nucleotides. RefSeq lists it as uncharacterized. The record is from RefSeq and is a predicted model, not a curated record. The transcript is spliced from 3 exons. Lineage: Eukaryota; Metazoa; Chordata; Actinopteri; Salmoniformes; Salmonidae.